Molecule: non-coding RNA, 150 nt
Organism: Caenorhabditis elegans
Lineage: Eukaryota; Metazoa; Nematoda; Chromadorea; Rhabditida; Rhabditidae
Source: Ensembl
CUAAGUGAAUCCAAUUGAAAUGCUUCAAAGCAAAUAGGAAACAGAAUAGAUUGUGUGAUUCGUUCCUCUCAUCAGAAAGCAAAGUGAGAGCUCUCUUCUGACUCUUCUCACUUGGAACCUUAAAGCUCCGCCCUCGUUUUUGGAAUGACA